UACGUAGGGGGCAAGCGUUAAUCGGAAUUACUGGGCGUAAAGUGUGCGCAGGCGGCCGCGCAAGUCGAGUGUGAAAUCCCCGAGCUUAACUUGGGAAUUGCGCUCGAAACUACGUGGCUGGAGUGUGGCAGAGGAAGGUGGAAUUCCACGUGUAGCGGUGAAAUGCGUAGAGAUGUGGAGGAACACCGAUGGCGAAGGCAGCCUUCUGGGCCAACACUGACGCUCAUGCACGAAAGCGUGGGGAGCAAACAGG
This 253-nucleotide ribosomal RNA is filed under the name uncultured bacterium. RNAcentral describes it as "partial 16S ribosomal RNA". It matches the Rfam family "Bacterial small subunit ribosomal RNA", at positions 524 to 776 of the family's 1533-position model. The record is from RNAcentral.